This 73-nucleotide transfer RNA is filed under the name Stegodyphus mimosarum. It matches the Rfam family "tRNA". Rfam says of the family: Transfer RNA (tRNA) molecules are approximately 80 nucleotides in length. Their secondary structure includes four short double-helical elements and three loops (D, anti-codon, and T loops). Lineage: Eukaryota; Metazoa; Arthropoda; Arachnida; Araneae; Eresidae. The record is from Rfam by way of RNAcentral.
GCUUCUGUUGCCUAAUGGAUAAGGCGUUUGUUUUCGGAAUGAAUGAUUGUGGAUUCAAGUGUCACCACGGGCG